CCUCCCAAGUGCUGGGAUUACAGACUCAUACCACAGCCAGAUUUUAGUCUUGCUGGGGUCAAACCCAGGGCCUUGUAUACUCGAGGCAAGGGCUCUACUAAGAGCCAGAACCCCAGCCCCAAAUAUACCAUUUUAAUUUUUCUCAAGUACAACUUUUGUCAGUAUUACCUAAUGAAAGCAUUUAUAUAUUUUUUUAAUCUUUGUGAGUGUGAGUGUGUGCAUGCGUGUGCGUGUGUGUGCAUGCGUGUGCGUCUGUGUAUGUGUGUGUGUGCGCGUGUGCGUGUGCGUGUGUGUGUGGACAGCUUGGGUGUGGAGGUCGGCUGGGGAACAACUGCAGGAAUCAGCUCUCUCUCCCCACCCUGUGGAACCCAGGCAGUCUGACUUGGCCAUCAGCACCGUCACCUGCCGAGCCCUCUUGCCUUAGGAAAUACAGCAGCGUGUGAAAUGCCAUAACUAUAUCCCAGCAUGCAGCGCACCAGACGAUCAAUUUAAAACACUCUCAUCAUCCCAAAGAACCUGGGAGCCUGCUGAGCAGCCCCUUCCCAAGCGGGUCUCCAGCCCGGCCUCUGGCAGCUAUGGAGGCCCCGAAGCUCACUCAUCCAGAGCAGAGACCCUGUUUAGCCCUUCGAUGCUACAGUGAGCAAGGCUUCUAGGAACAUCCAUGUGCAAUUUUUUAUAUUACCUUAUUAUCUAACUCAUUGGGCUGGCUUGUUUGAUGUCAACUUGACCUCAGUCGAGAAAACGUCCCCACUAGACUGGCCUGUGGGCGAGCCUUGACUGCUGAUUAGUGCAUCAGCGCCUGCCUCCCGGCUCCUGCCCUGACUUUGCUCAGUGAUGGACUGUGUGAUCUGAAAGUUGUGAGCUGAAAUAAACCCUUUCUGCCUCUAGGUGCCUUCUGUCAAAUAACAUAUAAUCACAAGAAUAGAAACUUAAGCAAGACAUCCAUUUGCUUUUCUGUUUUUGUUUUUGUUUUUUUUUAUUUAUGUAUUUAUGUAUUUAUCUU
This is a long non-coding RNA of Mus pahari (shrew mouse), 1003 nucleotides long. RefSeq lists it as uncharacterized. NCBI's taxonomy places the organism in Eukaryota, Metazoa, Chordata, Mammalia, Rodentia, Muridae. The transcript has 3 exons. The record is from RefSeq and is a predicted model, not a curated record.